GCUGGAAGUAAAGCAGAGUCCUGGCGGAGAUGAGAGAGUGGAAUCUGGUCAGAGCUACAACAGUAUUUCCUUCAUUCAAGCAAUGUGUUUUCUCCAUAGAAAAACAAAAAAACUGAUGACUAAACUAAGGCCCGAGGAGGCAAAGUGACUUGCACAUGAUCAUAAUGGCAGAGCCAAGAUUGGAAAUCAGGUCAUGGAAAUCUCAAAGCAAUUUUCUUUAUUCUACAUUAUACUGCAUAAAAUCAAACCUAAAAUGUAGUGGUAUGCUUUGAUGCUCUAAAAGAGAACUCUGCGGUGAGCUCUCAUGGAGCAAAAGACAUCUGGGACCAGUGCAACUCAAGGCAUCUUUACUGGCAAAAUCUGAAUGGAUGAGACUUGUUUCCUUGCCAAGGCAUACAACAUAUACACAACUCUUUGUGACCUCUAAAUGGACAAUUAUUG
RNAcentral lists this long non-coding RNA (441 nucleotides) under Equus caballus (horse). Its description in RNAcentral is "lncRNA (ENSECAG00000054480.1)". The record is from RNAcentral. Lineage: Eukaryota; Metazoa; Chordata; Mammalia; Perissodactyla; Equidae.